AUACGGAGGGUGCAAGCGUUAUUCGGAAUCACUGGGCGUAAAGGGUGCGUAGGCGGUUUGAUAAGUCUGAUGUGAAAUCCUAUGGCUCAACCAUAGAACUGCAUUGGAAACUGUCAGACUAGAAUACUGAAGGGGCAGAUGGAAUUAGUGGUGUAGGGGUAAAAUCCGUAGAUAUCACUAGGAAUACCGAAAGCGAAAGCGAUCUGCUGGGAAGUUAUUGACGCUGAGGCACGAAAGCGUGGGGAGAAAACGGGAUUAGAUACCCCAGUAGUCC
RNAcentral lists this ribosomal RNA (274 nucleotides) under uncultured bacterium. RNAcentral describes it as "partial 16S ribosomal RNA". It matches the Rfam family "Bacterial small subunit ribosomal RNA", at positions 523 to 796 of the family's 1533-position model. The record is from RNAcentral.